Piliocolobus tephrosceles (Ugandan red Colobus) is the source of this 2001-nucleotide long non-coding RNA. The record is from Ensembl. Lineage: Eukaryota; Metazoa; Chordata; Mammalia; Primates; Cercopithecidae.
UGCCCGUCUCAGCCUCCUAAAGUCCUGGGAUUACAGGCAUGAGCCACCGCCGCUGGCCCCGAGUGUGUGUUUUUGUCUUGGACUGGCCACAUAUUGCCCUUAGCCACAUGUGGCUUUAGCUGUCCUUCCAGGCAGGCUAUUCCGGGGGCAGAGGUGACCAUCCCUGUAACCCCGAGCUUCCAGCUCCUCUUCUGGAAGCAGAAAGCAGAGACUAUGUCAUUAGUACUAUGAGAAGCCUGGUUCUUUGGACUGUAGUUACUUUUUUUUUUUUUUUUUUUGACAGGGUCUUGCUCAAGGCUGGAGUGCAGUGGCAUGAUCAUAGCUCACUGUGGCCUCCAACUCCUGGGUUCAGGUGAUCUGCACACCACAGCAUCCCAAAGCUCUGGAAUUAAAGGUGUGACCUCUGCGUCCUGGCCUGUAGUUACUCUUUAAGUAGUUCCUUCUUUGGUUGACCUCCUUUUUGUUUUAUAAAUGCCAGGCUGCUGUGUUGUCCUGAGUAAAUCUUGGGAGUUCAUUGUAUGAACUUUUCAUGGGAAUACUUCAAAUAAUGUAGAGAGACGCAGCCUCGGGCUGGAGACAUGCUGGGUCGAUGAGGAGGGAAUCCCAGAGAGACGCACAGGAUUCUGAGCUUCUUUGGAGGAUUUGCAGCCCUGCCUACUUGGGGCUCUUCCAGCAUUUUCAGUGGAAACCCAGGAAAGCAGCCAAAUCAAUGCACUUCCAGGAGAUCAGCGACCUCUCUCCUGUGCUAGCACGAAGUCCGGAGUCUUACAAAGGGCUGUCUUGCUCCUUUCCCUAUCUUGUCAUGCCAGCCUCCUCUACCCAUCCUCCAGGUUAACAUUAGGAUUUCAAAACCAAAGUGGAAUAGAUGCUUUAAAUUCUUAACACACCCAGAUGUGUGAAGAAAAGUGAAUGCAAAUGUAUAUGGCUCUCAAAGCCCAACCAGAGACAUUGUAUGGUAACAGGACUCCUUCAUGCCCUUCUCUUUUGCUCUUUUUCCGUUUUGCUUGCCUUACAGCUUACCCCUACCAUUACUCUACCAAUGUUCUUGCUUAAGGUGCCUAUCCUGUUCUCUUAGGGCUUUGCUCUUAACCAGCUGUUAGCUAACUUCAACUGUUAUUUGAUAUUGAUGAGAGUUUUUAUUUCAAGAAGGAUUUGUCUUUUAAUGAGAGAUUCUUCAACUAAAAAGCACUUAUUAUGCACAAGAAUGAAUUUCACAUUAUAGAAAGUCAUGGAGUAAAUUCUGGACAGAGUUUCUGCUCAAGAUCUGUUGCUUGAUCAGGUUAUUUGUAUUUACCAAAGUGGAGGCAUGGAGUCUAUACAAAGAAGUGGAUGAUCAGAAACCAGAACAGAGUUUUAUAACAGUUAUAGCUGUAUGUGGGACCACAGCCUCUUAGCUUUCAUGUAAGCUUAUACUAAAUUUUCCGCUUUUCAGUUCCAGAGGUUUUGUAUUUAUAUAUUUAUAUGAUAAUCAGGGCAUUAUGUCCAUGAAGGUAAAAAAGGGUUUUUUAAAAAAAAUAAGUGGACACAUUUUUUGAUAUAUUUAAUUUUUCUUAUUUUUAGUUGAGAGUGCACGAUUUGUGAGUCCUCUUCAGCUUGGUGUUUAAGGAGAGCGGGGUGAGCUCAGUGAAUGUGGUUUAGCAGGAGAGCAUUUGAAUCUCACAGAGGAGUCAGCCUAUGCCCUAGUUCUAAGGCACCUCUGGUCCUGUGUGACCACGCCUGGGAGGCAACAGCCCUGAGCUCAGUUUCCUCCUCAGCAAAAUGUAGCCAAUGACGGGUUGUGAAGUGUGAAUGAGAUCAGGUCUGUGAACGUCACUUUGUAAACCCUUAAAGCACCAUUUCAAUCUUUCAUUAAAUAUUAACUGAAAGGAGCACUCACAUAGAAAUGUCACUGUCUACCCCCAACUAACUUUCCCCUCUUUUCUCACUUCUUCUUUUUCACAGAACCAGGCUACAUAUCUUGUCAUUAAAUUUAAUCAAUAAACAUCUAGUGAGUUCUACUCA